RNAcentral lists this ribosomal RNA (478 nucleotides) under uncultured bacterium. RNAcentral's name for it is "partial 16S ribosomal RNA". It matches the Rfam family "Bacterial small subunit ribosomal RNA", at positions 28 to 523 of the family's 1533-position model. The record is from RNAcentral.
GACGAACGCUGGCGGCGUGCUUAACACAUGCAAGUCGAACGGUAAGGCCCUUCGGGGUACACGAGUGGCGAACGGGUGAGUAACACGUGGGUGAUCUGCCCUGCACUUCGGGAUAAGCCUGGGAAACUGGGUCUAAUACCGGAUAGGACCACUGCCUGCAUGGGGGGUGGUGGAAAGCUUUUGCGGUGUGGGAUGGGCACGCGGCCUAUCAGCUUGUUGGUGGGGUGAUGGCCGACCAAGGCGACGACGGGUAGCCGGCCUGAGAGGGGGACCGGCCACGAUGGGAUUGAGGUACGGCCCAGACUGCUCCGGGAGGCAGCAGUGGUGAGUAUUGCACAAUGGGCGCAAGCCUGGUGCAGCUACGCCGCGUGAGGGAUGACGGCCUUCGGGUUGUAAACCUCUUUCAGCACCGACGAAGCGCAAGUGACGGUAGGUGCAGAAGAAGGACCGGCCAACUACGUGCCAGCCGCCGCCGUAA